Chiloscyllium plagiosum (whitespotted bambooshark) is the source of this 2180-nucleotide non-coding RNA. The record is from RefSeq and is a predicted model, not a curated record. Lineage: Eukaryota; Metazoa; Chordata; Chondrichthyes; Orectolobiformes; Hemiscylliidae.
UGACAGUGAAGGAAUGGCAAUAUAUUUCCAACUCAGGACAGUGAGUGCUUGGAGGGAAACUUCCCAUAUACCUGCUGCCCUUGUCCUUCUAAAUGGAAAUGGUUUGAGAAGUGCUGCCUUAAAUCACAACAGAACAGAGCUCACAAAGCCAUCAUCUUGGAAUGUUUGCUGUCACGUGCACUAACUUAUGUAUGAUGCAGUUAUAUAUCACGCUACUGGACCACUGACUGACCACAUGAACAACCUCUACCUGACCCAGGAGUUUCUUCUUACCUCGUCCAAGUUCCACUUCGUCUGCUUCCAAGUAGAAGGUUGGCUCAGAUCCAGGAACGCAGCAGGGCAACAGACAGUUUCUCAUUGUACCUGAGCAGAAAAAUCAUAAAUUCAUAAUCAAAAGAACUUGCGCAGAUGAUACUGCUUCCACCUGAUCCACAUCAGAUGGCAUAUUCAAGCUAAAUAAAUAAUAGAACAAAGGAGAAAUAAUAAAACAAGGAACAAAGCCUGUUCAAAUCCCCAUCCAACCUUCUUGUAUCAUCCUCAUAACUCAUUCCGAUCACAUUAUAUAUUGUGUACAAACUUUUAAAUAUUACACUUGAUCCCCACAUUCAAAUAAAUGACACAGAUUGUAAACAGCUGGGCUGUAAGCACAGACCCUUGAAAUACCUUACUAGUCACACAUUGCCAACCUGAGAAUGAUUCAUUUAUUUCUGCCCUGUUUUCUUUGCAUUAACAAAUCCUUGAUUUAUGACAGUAUCUUGCCCUGAUCCUAUGUGCUCAAGCUUUGUUUAUUGAUCUCUUGUGUGGGAUCGUAUUAAAAUCCAAAUACACUGCAUCCACUGGUACACCUUUAUCUACUCUAUUUGUAGCACCCUCAAUAAAAUGCCAACAGGCUUGUAAUACAUGAUUUGCCUUCAUACAUUCACGUGGACUGUGCCCAAACUGAUCAUUAUUUUCUAAGUUUUACAUCCUUAAUAUUAAAUUCUAAUGUUUCCCUGCAACUGACAUCAGAUUACCAGAUUCGUAGUUCUGCAUUUCCUCGGCUCCUUUUUUUCUCAAAUGCUGAGGUUUCAUUUGCAACCUUCCACUGUAGGCACUGUUCCAGCAUCCAUAGAAUUUUGAAGUAAUCUAUCUCUCGGGUCCCUUCUUUAAACAUUGUGAGAUAUAGAUCAAUGGGUCCUGGAAAUCUGUCAGCUUUCAGUCAGUUGUCUAAUAAUAUGUUUUCAUAAACAUUCAUUUUGUUCAUUCCUCAUUCAUUUCUUGAAUUUAUUAUUUCUGGGAAAUUUCUUGUCUCUUACUCAAAAAAAGAUAGUCACAAAUACUGGAGUCUUCCCAGGCCCUGAAUAACCUGGGCAAUGGGUGAGUCAGUUGGGAAAAUAUGGAAGAUCAGAAAAAUAAGCUUUUUAAUGGUGAGAAAAAAAAUCUGAUUUUUUUUUACCCAAGGUUCACCAUUGAGAUGAGAAUCUCAUUAAUGUCUGAAUGCAUGUGUAGACAGCUCAUAAUUACCUAAUUUCACCUCAUUUAUAUGCAGUUUCCUAUUUUACCAGAUGGUGGACAAAAACUAGAUGGCACCAAUUUUUAACAUGAAAGUCUCUUCUGGGCCUCCAGCUCGGCCAGCAGUCCUCAGCAUCUCAGAGCAUGCUCCAUUGUCAAUGGAUACCCACAACCUCUGUCCACAGUGGUUGGAUUAAAUACACACUAGCCUCACCAUAUCAGCAUGGCCUUACAAUGGAGGGAUGAUCAUUGAUGAAACAGCUGAAGACAGUUGAUUCUAAGACCACGCUAUGAGGAACUCCUGAAGCAAUGUUCUGGGACUGAGAUGAUUAGUCUCUAGCCAUCAGAAUAAAUCUUUCCUUGUACUAGGUCUGAUUACAACUACUGGAAAGUGUGAUUGUCAGCAAACUGCUGAAUUAUAUGGUGCCCUGUUCUGUAGCUAGACCAGAGACUAUUUAGCAAUGUAGAGCUGGGAGUAGUAUAGGUAGAAAAUAAUAUUCUAGAGCCCUGGACAAUACACUGGUUAAAUAUUAUCCUUACCAUGGACAGAUGCAGUGUCCCAUACCUUGUUCUCAUUAUCUCCUGUGCCUACAGAAGGCACUGUUAACUGAGGAAACAGAAGACAAGAACUCCAAUUUCAGAAAAUGUAUACUCACUAUGUUGGUUACAAUUUUGCUUAAAUUUGUUUC